GGAGGAAAGCAGGGGAUCGCAAGACCUUGCGCUUUUGGAGCGGCCGAUGCCUGAUUAGCUUGUUGGUGAGGUAAAGGCUCACCAAGGCUUCGAUCAGUAGCUGGUCUGAGAGGACGACCAGCCACACUGGGACUGAGACACGGCCCAGACUCCUACGGGAGGCAGCAGUGGGGAAUUUUGGACAAUGGGGGCAACCCUGAUCCAGCCAUGCCGCGUGAGUGAAGAAGGCCUUCGGGUUGUAAAGCUCUUUCAGCCGGAACGAAACGGUUACGAUUAAUACCCGUAACUACUGACGGUACCGGAAGAAGAAGCACCGGCUAACUACGUGCCAGCAGCCGCGGUAAUACGUAGGGUGCGAGCGUUAAUCGGAAUUACUGGGCGUAAAGCGUGCGCAGGUGGUUUUGUAAGUCAGAUGUGAAAUCCCCGGGCUUAACCUGGGAACUGCGUUUGAAACUACAAAGCUAGA
This 466-nucleotide ribosomal RNA is filed under the name uncultured Pseudomonadota bacterium. Its description in RNAcentral is "bacterial SSU rRNA". It matches the Rfam family "Bacterial small subunit ribosomal RNA", at positions 198 to 645 of the family's 1533-position model. The record is from RNAcentral. Lineage: Bacteria; Pseudomonadati; Pseudomonadota.